This 252-nucleotide ribosomal RNA is filed under the name uncultured bacterium. RNAcentral describes it as "partial 16S ribosomal RNA". It matches the Rfam family "Bacterial small subunit ribosomal RNA", at positions 335 to 580 of the family's 1533-position model. The record is from RNAcentral.
UGCCUACGGGGGGCAGCAGUAGGGAAUCUUCCACAAUGGACGAAAGUCUGAUGGAGCAACGCCGCGUGAGUGAAGAAGGGUUUCGGCUCGUAAAGCACUGUUUGUAGUGAAGAAAGAUAGAGGUAGUAACUUGCCCUUAUUUGACGGUAAUUACUUAGAAAGUCACGGCUAACUACGUGCCAGCAGCCCCGGUAAUACGUAGGUGGCAAGCGUUGUCCGGAUUUAUUGGGCGUAAAGCGAGUGCAGGGGGUU